RNAcentral lists this long non-coding RNA (780 nucleotides) under Toxoplasma gondii VEG. Lineage: Eukaryota; Apicomplexa; Conoidasida; Eucoccidiorida; Sarcocystidae. The record is from RNAcentral.
GCUUUUUAAGGAUGUCACCACCUGGGCGGUGGAUUUGUCGGUGAAGGACGCACAUGACAGCGACACGCAGAAUCACCUCGGAGCUGACGCCCCCUAUUCAGAAUUAUUUGGCACACACUUUUCGAUCUGACUACUAUCUUUAAAGUAUCAUCGCAUGGCAUUUUAUAGUUGGUGCAGCCUAUCUUUUUAUAAGCUGCCCUCGUGUCAGAAGGGAGGAUCUAGCACAAAAGUGCCUGCCCACUUGACGCAAACAUUCAGACAAGUGAUCCGAUGUCCCUCGAAGCUGAGGCUCCUUCUCAAAAGCACAUAUUGCGGAUACAAUAUGUGAAAUCAAGAGCAUUUUGGCACGCUUCGUAGGAGGCUGAGUACGGCGCGGGUUGCAUGUGGUCUACUGUGAACAUGUUACGACUAGGUGCUUGAAUGUUGCAGUCCCCCAAAGGAGCAUAGGCACAUUCACCUUUGAUGUGGCAUCUUCCAUGGAAAGCUUCAAAACGAUCGACGUGUGCCCGAUGGAGGUGUCGUUUGAGGACCUCACGUAAGCUGUUCUGAGUACUGACCCACAUGGCGUCGUCCUCAGCACAUCAUCGCGGUUUGCGUGCACCUUCCACUUUUAGUGGCCAUCCUUGGAUUUGCGUUUCAUUAUUUCCUAUUCAGCGAGAACUGGUGGUCUGUCUUUUCUUUUCCUUGACUUCUUGCAGCCUGCAGAAAUUCGGAGGCGCAAGGUCACAGGGUCUGACACAAAAAGUGAACGUCACAACCUGUACGAGGGCGCAGAUGAAG